GACGAACGCUGGCGGCGUGCUUAACACAUGCAAGUCGAACGGAAAGGCCCUGCUUUUGUGGGGUGCUCGAGUGGCGAACGGAUGAGUAACACGUGAGUAACCUGCCCUUGACUUUGGGAUAACUUCAGGAAGCUGGGGCUAAUACCGGAUAGGAGCUCCUGCUGCAUGGUGGGGGUUGGAAAGUUUCGGCGGUUGGGGAUGGACUCGCGGCUUAUCAGCUUGUUGGUGGGGUAGUGGCUUACCAAGGCUUUGACGGGUAGCCGGCCUGAGAGGGUGACCGGCCACAUUGGGACUGAGAUACGGCCCAGACGCCUACGGGAGGCAGCAGUGGGGAAUAUUGCACAAUGGGCGGAAGCCUGAUGCAGCAACGCCGCGUGCGGGAUGACGGCCUUCGGGUUGUAAACCGCUUUCGCCUGUGACGAAGCGUGAGUGACGGUAAUGGGUAAAGAAGCACCGGCUAACUACGUG
Molecule: ribosomal RNA, 468 nt
Filed under: uncultured bacterium
Lineage: Bacteria
Description: partial 16S ribosomal RNA
Rfam family: Bacterial small subunit ribosomal RNA
Source: RNAcentral